Molecule: transfer RNA, 75 nt
Filed under: Clostridiales bacterium
Lineage: Bacteria; Bacillati; Bacillota; Clostridia; Eubacteriales
Description: tRNA-Arg
Rfam family: tRNA
About the family: Transfer RNA (tRNA) molecules are approximately 80 nucleotides in length.
Source: RNAcentral
GCCUCUGUAGUUAAAUGGAUAUAACGAGCCCCUCCUAAGGGCUAGUUCUGAGUUCGAUUCUCGGUGGGGGUGCCA